AUGGCUCAGGAGCUGAUCGAGCAACUUGAGGCCAAAGUGAGUGCUAACAGCGCGAGAUCUCACCCUCUCAUCGAUUUGUUCAUACCAACCAUCGACAUCGAGCACGGCAUAUGCUACACCCAUCCUGAGAAACUUCCAGGUAUCACACUGAGUGGCCUAAGCAAGCAUUUCUUCUGGCACAAUUCCAGGGUGUUCAAAAGGGGCACGUGGACGCGUUGCAAGAUAAAGUUGGAGUGUGACAUGCACGCGAUGUGGCACAAGACCGGCAAUACCUUGCCGGUGAUGGUCAACGGCCGGCAAACGGGCAGCAAAAAGGUUCUAGUGAUGCACACCAACAAGAACUUCGACCAGCAGAGGACCAACUGGGUGAUGCACCAGUACCACCUCGGGGACCUGGAGCAAGAGAAGGAGCGGGAGAUGGUCCUCUGCAAGAUUUUCUACCAGACGAACACUAGGACCAGGAGUAAAAAGAUUAUAAGUCGAGCAAGUUUCAACUGGGUUGUAGACUGCCCAGGCUUGGUUUUGUUUUUAACAAGCCCAGCCCAUGACGACAACGGGGCGCAAAGAUCUAGCAGGUAUCUACUGGCCUCUGGCCCGCCAGUGUUGGUUAUAUUUUGUCUUACAACAUCCGUGCAGGCAGUUUUUUACUAA
This 651-nucleotide ribosomal RNA is filed under the name Triticum aestivum (bread wheat). RNAcentral's name for it is "partial small subunit ribosomal RNA". The record is from RNAcentral. Lineage: Eukaryota; Viridiplantae; Streptophyta; Magnoliopsida; Poales; Poaceae.